This 7741-nucleotide long non-coding RNA is filed under the name Olea europaea (common olive). RNAcentral's name for it is "long non-coding RNA (OEUR_LNC002997)". Lineage: Eukaryota; Viridiplantae; Streptophyta; Magnoliopsida; Lamiales; Oleaceae. The record is from RNAcentral.
CAUCAUGUUCUAUUUAUCUCCUUAAAUUCUUUGAUAUUUGCUGUGUACUCAAGGUAUAUUCCACUCUAACACCUGUCUUCUCUUGGUCUUUCUAACAAAAUAUUUGUGUUAUGGAUUUUAAAGUUGUCUCUUCUUUACUUUUGAGGUAAUGGCUCAUCUUUCAGCCUUUAUAUGCCACUGUUGGGGCAAGGCUUGCUCAGACCUAACAAUCCAUGCUGCAAGAUUUUUGUUCCUUCUUUUCGUGUUCACCAAAACUUUUGUCCCUACAAGUAAAGGACUUGACUUUUGUUGACACUGUUUGUGUAAUUGCAUGUUCUUAAAUCAGUUGAUCAGCCUUAGUUUCACGUCAGAUUAAACCGGUUGCAUCAAAUAAGAAUCAAAUGUAACUUGCUGGUUGUUGUAUUUUUAUUUUUAUUUUGCAACUGUGCUCACAUAACAUUGUGAUUUUUCCUUUGCUUUCUUUAAUUAUUAUCUCGUCCAGCUCUUGCUGCAAAGAGAAACAGAUAUCACAGGCAGAAAUCCUUGAUGACCCUUGAAAUGGAGAGUCAACACGCCAAAGGAUUUAUGCCAACUUACGGUUCAAAUUAAUUAGCAUUUUCUAGUAAAGGAGAACAAAAAUUUUGUUAGGGAUCAGCUCACCAAGACGUUGUAGAUAAGAACGUUGACUGUAUUGAUACGACGUGCACAGAAUACUGUGUUAAAGAGUAGCACCAUGGCUUGAGAGAAGAUAUGCCCUUCCUGGGAAUUUGGCUCCAAUCAAUUGUACGAGGAUGGUGGGGUCAUGGAAAACCAGUGUAUCUGUAGAGAAAAAUGAAUCUCAGUGUAUACAUGGAUAAAAGAACAUAAGGCAAUUUCCCUUGUAUUACUACCAGUUUUUUUCUUUUUAUACUUCUAGAUAAAUUCGAUUGAUUCUCAUAAUUGUGGUUGAGAUUCUAGACGGACCCAAAUUUGGAAUUGUUCUGGUGUCAAUAGUGUCACCAGGUACUCUUAUUCGGAUUUUAUAUCUAAACAGUUUUACAAUUGCAGCCAUUGUCUCCAUACUUUGAUUAUUUGGGCAGUUUUUUUUGUUUUAAGUUCUACUAAAUCUGAAUUUCAAUUCAAGCCAAAAAGCUACAUAUGAAUGGAUGUAACUUCUAGAUGAAAAAUCUAUAAGGUUUCACCAUUUCCAUUUGAUGAUACAAGAAUUUUGAAGUUCUUACUUUGCCUCUAUUUUGCAUCUCAAAUUCGAAUUGUGUGCAUUCUUCUCCUCCAAUCUUGUUUAUACUUUUUCUUUGGCGUUCGGCUUCUCUUCGUGUUUGCACAACGCAAAUAACACUGAGACUCAUCAUAUCUUUGAGGCAUAUUUGUAUUCGUGAGCAUCGUGAAAAUUGGUGGUGACAAAUACACGUACGAGUAUGCGACAUUUUAGCAUGUUUUAAAGUUGGUAUUGUCAAGUUCAAGUUUCUGCAAUAUUCCAACUUCUCUCUCUACUCAUCUUCUCACGUUCUAUAAGAAAAAACCUUCCAACAUUUUCUAAUAUAUAAUUCCAUUCCAUCUUCGAACUGGAUUUGGGCCUUUUGUUAUCGAUUUACUUGAAACGAUUGUUUUUAGUUGAGAUUGGGUACUUCUUGAAUCUUAUUGUUUAGUGUAUGUUUAGUACGUAAUAUUAGACACAGCAAGAAACAAAAAUAGUAUAUGUAUCUUAUACGAGAAAAGAACAUAAAUUCUGAUAGGACAGCUAGCUAAGAGGAUGUAGAUAAGGACUUCGAAUGUGUUGAUAUACAAAGAGACAUGGAACAAUGGGAGAAAUGGCACCACUGCUUCAAUAAGAUGUGACUAGAGAAGGGUUUUGGCUUUUUCCCAUAAACUUGUAUUAAAAUGGGUCUUGGAGAAGGGGGGAAAAAGAAGAAAGAAAGCACUUUUCUGUGGAAUUCAAUGUAUCUAGGUCUUAUUCAUGAAUCAAGAAAACAAAAGCCAAAUGCCCCCAUUGUAUCAUAUACCCAAUUCUUUGGGUGAAAACCUCAAAUCCCAUGAUAUUCCAUCCUCUUUAAGAAUCUGUGGUCCCUUGAGCUUGUACUCGUGUUAGCUGUAGUCUAGUUUGAUCCUUAUCUCAUAUUUAUCUUCAAAAAAUUGUCUGGGGAGGGAGAAUGAAUUUGGUAUGAAGUGACAUAACAAACGAUGACUAGAACUUUUGUAGUUAUUUUUUACGAACUUUAAAAGCAAAAUGGCAAUAAGUGGAGUUGACGGGAAUAAAGAUUAAAUUAAGGAAAUGACGGUUUACGUAGCUGGAUUUGUCUACUCUCAAAUUCAUAAGAGUGACGUGAUUUUGUAAAUCAAGUUAGAAAAAGGAGAGACGGAGUAAAAUUAAGUUCGUUUCUGGUGGUUAUUUGCGAUCUAACUAAUCUAUUUUAUAAUUAAUAACAAACAAAGGGUUCAUUAAACCAAACACCAAAAUUCAUUGUAAGACUUUCAGAAUCACUGCUUAUUCCAGGGGAUGGAGUAAAUGAGCUGAAAUAUCUAUAAAUUAAUCUAUAAAACUUUGACAAACAGGACAUGAACAGAAAGAUGAUGUAAGGAUUAAGAAUUUAAGACAGAGACAAGGGACGAAUUGUCAUGCCAUAAUGCAAAUGGUACAACAAGUCUGCUGAUAGUGAAGCAGGAAUCUAAUGGUUUUCCAUUGAAAUGUCAAGAUUUUAUACAUGGAAAAAUAAAAAGUGACAUUGAUUUCUGUAUCAAACUUUGAAUUAGAAAAUUAUGCAGGUAACAUGCAUGGCCCUCAACUUAAUGUUUUCCUUUGUCUCCUGCCCGAAUGUCAAAUAAUUUUGACCAGUUCAAGGUAUUGAAAACGUGGGAUGUAUAGAUCCAAAUGCCAUCAUUACCAGUUACUUCUAGGAGGGUCUCUAAACGCAACGGCCAAUAUAUGAAUCUUCAAACAUACACGUUAUCGGUACUUAACAUAAAUUGAAAAUUAGCGUUCAUUAGAUCAUUCCUCUCUCUGAUAUGCACCAUGUAAAAUGAUAUGUUGAAGACAAAAGCCAAAUUUAAGGAGCCAAAAAAAAAAACACUCAUGCCAAUAAUUUAAGCUUUUUUCCCCCUAAAUCUUGAUUUUAACUUGAUUUAUUCGUGAACAAUAAAUUGUAAAGCUCUGAGAGGGUACAAAAUAGCUUAAAAGUUAAAACACAACUAGUUAAUUAUACUCGAAUGUCAUUUUAGCUUUAUUUAGUAAAAACAAAUCAAGGUUUAUUGAUUUAAACUCAAAUUAAUCAUUAAGCUCCUAGUUAGUAAAUUUAAUUUUUGACACACACACACACACACACACACAAAAUAAAUACGUAAAACACAUACAAAAAGGGAAAAAAAAAAAAAAUCGUCAAAAAACUGCGUCCUACAACCAUCAAACCUACUCAUUCUUUUGUCUCCUUUCUAAAGCAACCAUGCAACUAUGUCAAUUUGCAGAGAGCGAUAGAGAGACUUUCACUUUCAAUACACACACAUGUAAUUGUUGAAGAUAAGAUUUAAGAUUUAAAAUGAAUACAUAUGGUUAUUUUUUACCAGCUUAAGUAAUUUGAUUAGAUGAUUGUUAUGUAUCGGAGCUCACUGAAAGAUCUAGAUUGAACUCUCGCUAUAUUUAUUUAUAAAAAUUGUCUACAUAUUCAACAUUUAAUCGAAAAAUGAAAUUUAGCCUUUGUUUGAUUUAGAUAAAAAUGAGAUUUUUAGUAGAUUAUUAGACGAAAUGUGUAGUUAAAAAGCUGAAAAAUUGUGAAACUUAUAAAAUGUGUGAUUGAAAAUAAAAUUUGAAAAAAAGACCAAAUUCGACCGUAGCGUGCAAGUAAAUGGAUGAAAAACGAGAUUUGUAUUUGAUGGAUGUGAAUUUUCUUAACGUUUAAACUUUUAAACGAGAAAAUUAACGUGUGGGAGAGUGGGAGGACUUGGCAAUAGGUAAACUUAAGAUGAUGACAUUGUGCACCAAAAGAGACGCAACAUAACAAAUCUCAUAGGUCUUAUUGUGAUAUUUUUAAUCACAUUUAUCACUUGCAUUUGAUUUUGACUAUAGAAAUUAGGCAACAAAAAACCAAGUUGACAAAUCUCCUAUGCAAAUCUUAAGACGACUUUCAGAUGUUUAAAAUAAGGAUUAAACUAAGUGUACAGUUCACAGAACCCCUAUAGGUACUCACAGUAGAUGGAUCCCAUGUAGGACCCACUUGUAUAAAAUAAUGUCCAAAUCCCACGCACCCCGUCCAUGUUGUGAGUAUCUAAAGGGGUAAACAACCCCGUAGCUCCAGCAUCUUCCUUAAAACAAAACUAAUGACUUCACAAACUAUUAUUAAUGUAACAUACUGUCCCUAUUGAGUCAAUAUUUUCGACUGCCAGCCUGCAACUCCGCAGAAUCAAUAAUAUGCUUUUUGACUCAAAAAUAAGAAUAAUCAAAUUUCAGUAGGAAAGUUGUCGCAAUGUAAAAUAAAUGUAAAUUAUGAUUUAGAUAUUCAAAGUUAUCGAAAAACUCUUCAAUGAAGAGAUGUAUAUAAAAUGUAAAUUAUGUCGUUUGACUGAAAAUGUAAAACAUCGAAGAAGUAGAAAACGGAUUUAGAUCUUUCCAUUGAAGUAAAAGUUGAAUUUAGAUCUAUCAAAAUAUAUAUAUGAGGAUAUAAUGAUAGUAUUAGAUAAACCAAUUUACACUCAAUUUUAUACCACGAUUGGAGAUGCUUUUAUAGGUUAAAGACCAUAAGAUUAUUAUAAUCUACACAAUAUUUUCUUGAUUCCCUUUGAUUAUUUUAUGGAAGCUGGAUUGCAUAAUUAUUUCAUAUUAAUUUCUUUUAUAGUCAUUUGUAAUGUACUAAGGUUAUUUCUUAAUUUGUUUUUGAUAGAUAAAAAUGUAUAUUUUCUUAUUAUUUAAAAACAGGAUGACAUAAUUGGACAAUAUUAAUAUACAUGUCUGUGUUGGUUUAUGCAUGCAAAUAAUAGUAUAUUACUAGGUUAAAGACACGUUGAAUGAGACCAACAGAGCCACGUACACGUUCAUAUUGCCAAAGUAAAGGGAUUAAUUAUAUAAUUUAACAUUCUAUUUCUAUGGUUAGUGAAAAGUCGACAUCAAGUUGCAGCUGGGCCAUGUGAAAUUAAAUUAAAUUAAAAGUAGAUAAUCUUGGAUUUGUGCUAAUUAAGCAAUAGAGCAUCAUAUAUUCAUAAUAUUUAUAGAUAUUCUGAAUAUAUAAAAUAGCACAACAUGCAGAGUUUUAAACAAUUACAAAUUGAAUUUGUUUACCCUAAACGUUUAAAAUAAUUGCAAAUUAAUUCUUAAAGUGAGCUCAAGCAGAUUGUUACUCCCUGUAUUAAGUUAAUCAUAAGAUAGCGCCACGUGGAAAAUUCACUAGCGUCAUCAGAAGAGUCGGCUCAAAACAUAUGAAGAGACGAAGCAAUAAGGUUACAGAUUGGCUCCAGAAGCCGAAAUCCUUGUUCUGGCCAAGUUGCCAUUUAACUAGAUGGAUCAUGAAGUCCUAAUAAAGGGUCUAUGUCGAAAUCCUCAUGUUCACAACCAGUCAAGGUUCUAAAAGAUGAGGCUGAAGUCCUAAGAGGCGAAGAGGCUGCCACAUUUGCUAACUUGACGAAUAUCUUUGUGAAAAACUGAUUAGAUGUUUACUUUAUCUUAUGUCAAGAAUAUAAAUCUAGAAGUAUUGGACAGUUGGCUUUUUGUCAAUGAAAUAAAUGCAUAUGUAAAAAUGAUGUGAUAUAUAAAAGAAGGGGGGAGGGCACGUGGUUUGGAUCCAACGAUCCUCACCCUCUUCCCCAAACUCUAUAUAUAACCUCCCCUUAGGAAAAGAGGAAGGAGGGAGAGGAACAACACAGAUAGAGAAAAAAGAGAGAAAACUUGGGAAGAUGAAUAAAGAACAUGUACAUAAAUUUUUGGCACAUUUUGGAGAGGAAAAUAAAUACAACUCCAUACGUCUCUUGCCAUUUGAUUGUGUUCCUAUUUUGCUCUCUUUUAUCAUUUACUUGCAAAAGUUGUAAUUAUGUUUGGGUAAGAUUAUCACUGUCCAUGUGAGAGUUUUUCGGUCACUUUGUCGGCUUCUAAACUGCUUAGUCUCGCGUCGGAUGAGAAUACGUCCAUUUUACCAUCUGAUCAAAUCAACAAUCCAAACACCCCAAAAUUUGUCCACAUGGACACGAGUGGGCCUGACAUCAGUUGGCAUCUUUUUUGGAGGUUAACAGAUUGGCACCGUCUGUGGGAAGCUUGGAAUAGCAAAACCACGAGCACCUGUGGGAUAAGGCCUUUGAACAAAAGGUGACGUUCUUGAAAAAGAUCAAUACGGGACAUGAUCGAGGUAUUGAAAGAUGCAACUCAAAAGGAACUAUGCUAAAUCCUUGAAUAAAGGAAAACAACCCCAGAAACAGAGCCAAAGAGAGGUUAUCUAUCGAGAAGGGGUAGUCAUGAGUUCAACAAAAGAAAAAACCUUACCUAGACAGAAUAAAGAACGUUUUGGUGAGAAAGCAUCCUCGCAAAUUGCCCCAAUAAUCUAGGAGCCGCUGCCAGCCACCCCCGCAGUUCGCCAUCGAAGAAGUGGAAUCAAGACUGAAAGCCAUCCAAUAGGUAUAUAUAUAUAAGAUUAAUUUUUUAAGCUACUUCCAACUGUCCACGUUGCUUUUGGGUCAAGCCUUUGAACAUUGUUGUUGGUAAUCAAUUCAGCAUUUGACCGAGGCCUGUGAAAUUAUAUUCAAUGUUUAUAUCAAAACUCGGGAUUUAUUGGGUAUCAAAACGCAACACAAAUGUUGGUAUAUCAACUCUAACAUAAAUACGUACGUGUGCGAACUUUAUCAAGUUUGUCAAAGCUUGCCUAGCAAUCAUUGUUCACUCUUAGCACAAUGAACUGUCACCCUAUAAUUUUUCUAGGGUAGGGGAUAAAGGGUAUAUCUGCCAGACCAUCAAGAUCUAAUCACCAUAUAUGUUCAUAAAAUAAACAUGAGUUCUUUUUUCUAAUUUCAGCUUCAAUUCUUGCUUCCUCGAAACUUAUAGCGGUCUCUUUUACUUCUCUAAGAUACUUUUGUUUCUUUCACAGUCUUUCUGGCAACAAAGGCUUGUGUGGUGUACCAUCUUUGCCUGAUUGUCCACUAUUUUGGGGGAAAAAUGGCUUAUCUACUGGUGGCAAAGUUGCUAUCGGUCUUGCCUGUCUAUUUUUAUUAUCGGUGCUGCUGCUUGGGAUGUACUAUUGUUGUGUGUGGAGGAGGCGCAAUGACUAUGACUUUGGUCUACCUCAUGAACUAAUGUGUAAGUUCUUCUUUAACUAGUAUCAUCAUGUUCUAUUUAUCUCCUUAAAUUCUUUGAUAUUUGCUGUGUACUCAAGGUAUAUUCCACUCUAACACCUGUCUUCUCUUGGUCUUUCUAACAAAAUAUUUGUGUUAUGGAUUUUAAAGUUGUCUCUUCUUUACUUUUGAGGUAAUGGCUCAUCUUUCAGCCUUUAUAUGCCACUGUUGGGGCAAGGCUUGCUCAGACCUAACAAUCCAUGCUGCAAGAUUUUUGUUCCUUCUUUUCGUGUUCACCAAAACUUUUGUCCCUACAAGUAAAGGACUUGACUUUUGUUGACACUGUUUGUGUAAUUGCAUGUUCUUAAAUCAGUUGAUCAGCCUUAGUUUCACGUCAGAUUAAACCGGUUGCAUCAAAUAAGAAUCAAAUGUAACUUGCUGGUUGUUGUAUUUUUAUUUUUAUUUUGCAAAUGUGCUCACAUAACAUUGUGAUUUUUCCUUUGCUUUCUUUAAUUAUUAUCUCGUCCAG